GGACGACGCUGGCGGCGUGCCUAACACAUGCAAGUCGAACGGAACUGAUUUGACUGAUUCCUUCGGGAUGAAGAAUUUUAGUUUAGUGGCGGACGGGUGAGUAACGCGUGAGUAACCUGCCUCUGAGAGGGGGAAUAACGUUCUGAAAAGAACGCUAAUACCGCAUAGCACAUAUUUGCCGCAUGACAGAUAUGUCAAAGAUUUUUAUCGCUCGGAGAUGGACUCGCGUCCGAUUAGUUAGUUGGUGAGGUAACGGCUCACCAAGACCGCGAUCGGUAGCCGGACUGAGAGGUUGAACGGCCACAUUGGGACUGAGACACGGCCCAGACUCCUACGGGAGGCAGCAGUGGGGGAUAUUGCGCAAUGGGGGCAACCCUGACGCCAGCAACGCCGCGUGAAGGAUGAAGGUUUUCGGAUUGUAAACUUCUUUUAUCAGGGACGAAGAAUGACGGUACCUGAUGAAUAAGCUCCGGCUAACUACGUGCCAGCAGCCGC
This 495-nucleotide ribosomal RNA is filed under the name uncultured bacterium. Its description in RNAcentral is "bacterial SSU rRNA". It matches the Rfam family "Bacterial small subunit ribosomal RNA", at positions 32 to 518 of the family's 1533-position model. The record is from RNAcentral.